This 497-nucleotide ribosomal RNA is filed under the name uncultured bacterium. RNAcentral describes it as "partial 16S ribosomal RNA". It matches the Rfam family "Bacterial small subunit ribosomal RNA", at positions 28 to 507 of the family's 1533-position model. The record is from RNAcentral.
GAUGAACGCUGGCGGCGUGCCUAAUACAUGCAAGUCGAGCGAACAGACGAGGAGCUUGCUCCUCUGACGUUAGCGGCGGAUGGGUGAGUAACACGUGGAUAACCUACCUAUAAGACUGGGAUAACUUCGGGAAACCGGAGCUAAUACCGGAUAAUAUAUUGAACCGCAUGGUUCAAUAGUGAAAGACGGUUUUGCUGUCACUUAUAGAUGGAUCCGCGCCGCAUUAGCUAGUUGGUAAGGUAACGGCUUACCAAGGCAACGAUGCGUAGCCGACCUGAGAGGGUGAUCGGCCACACUGGAACUGAGACACGGUCCAGACUCCUACGGGAGGCAGCAGUAGGGAAUCUUCCGCAAUGGGCGAAAGCCUGACGGAGCAACGCCGCGUGAGUGAUGAAGGUCUUCGGAUCGUAAAACUCUGUUAUUAGGGAAGAACAAAUGUGUAAGUAACUAUGCACGUCUUGACGGUACCUAAUCAGAAAGCCACGGCUAACUACGUA